GGGGAAUAUUGCGCAAUGGGGGGAACCCUGACGCAGCCAUGCCGCGUGAAUGAAGAAGGCCUUAGGGUUGUAAAGUUCUUUCGGUAUUGAGGAAGGUUGAUGUGUUAAUAGCACAUCAAAUUGACGUUAAAUACAGAAGAAGCACCGGCUAACUCCGUGCCAGCAGCCGCGGUAAUACGGAGGGUGCGAGCGUUAAUCGGAAUAACUGGGCGUAAAGGGCACGCAGGCGGUUAUUUAAGUGAGGUGUGAAAGCCCUGGGCUUAACCUAGGAAUUGCAUUUCAGACUGGGUAACUAGAGUACUUUAGGGAGGGGCAGAAUUCCACGUGUAGCGGUGAAAUGCGUAGAGAUGUGGAGGAAUACCGAAGGCGAAGGCAGCCCCUUGGGAAUGUACUGACGCUCAUGUGCGAAAGCGUGGGGAGCAAACAGGAUUAGAUACCCUGGUAGUCCACGCUGUAAACGCUGUCGAUUUGGGGGUUGGGGUUUAACUCUGGCGCCCGUAGCUAACGUGAUAAAUCGACCGCCUGGGGAGUACGGCCGCAAGGUUA
RNAcentral lists this ribosomal RNA (546 nucleotides) under uncultured bacterium. RNAcentral's name for it is "bacterial SSU rRNA". It matches the Rfam family "Bacterial small subunit ribosomal RNA", at positions 356 to 896 of the family's 1533-position model. The record is from RNAcentral.